GUUCAAGAAGGGAUGCUAUGUGAGAUGCAGAGGAGAUUCCUUUCUGAAAGAGCAAAUUGUGGCACCUGGGAGAACUGGACUUCCCUCCUGACUGGCAGAAAGGAGCACAUUUAGUGGUUCAUGCAGAGCCACCCCAAAUCCCCACAUCCCUCACAAACAGUGUAGAUAUAUCUGUUUAGGGUGACCUUCAGGACUGUAGCACAUUGAUUUGUCUCCCAACAGAGUGCCUGUGUGGACAGACACCAACCGAACCAGCAGCAGUGAUGGCCUUGGCUGAUUUUCACUACACCACAGGCAUCAGCAGUGGCUUCAAGGUCUACAUCUUGGAAGGCCAUUCUUCCUUUGAGCAUGAGCAGAAGUUCCAUCGCCUCCCGGCCCAUCGGCUACCUGUCUAUUCAAUCAAACGCAAGCCCAGCAUUGAUGUGAGAAGCCCAGGGCGAAGCUCAGAAGGCCAGAAAGCAUCGAAAAUCCAGCGAUCCGGUUGUGGAUCCGUUGCAGUGCCUCAGGUGCAGAGGACUUCUUCUGUCUCCAUUCCAGUCGCUGUGUCUUGUGUCAGCACCUCUAGACCUGAGCCCUCCAGGAAGUCCCAGGCCCUUCACCCAUCCUGCCCACAUAAAUGUCCUCUAAGGAAGCCCCUGCUGGAUCCAGCCCUCCCAGCAUCCCAGCUGCAGCAGAUGCGCCCUUCAGUCAUCACUUGCGCUCCCCGCCGGAACACUCCAGAGUCACCUACAAGCACCAGUCCCACACAGAUUUCCCCAAUCAGGCACAGGAACUACAUGGCCCCUGACUCUCCCUACGCAGAGAGAGCCCAACACCUGUGGGCCACCAGUGCACCAGAGCUUCCAGAGCAAUUGGGUAAAGAAACAUCUCCUGAGCAACUGACCAAGGAGGCCAGCAAGAAACUGCAGCCCAGCCCUUGAAGGUCAUUGGCCUUGACCUGAAAUCCUUGUGGAACAAGGAAGUGGAGCCUGUGGCUCUCCAGCUACUGUUGGACUCCAACCCCCAUCAGCCCCAAUCAUGAUGACCAACAGUCAGGAUUUAUGGAAGUAGCAGUGAAGAAACUGUCAGUCAAGGCACCCUAUCUUUUAUACACCUGAAGCCUUAGACCUGGCAUGUUCCUUUUCAUGUCUUCAAAGCAUCUCUUAUUCUUGGCUAAGAGCCUUUCCUCAAAAACUGUGGCAUGUAUUUGUUCAUUUUUCAGCCCUGUAAUUAGCAACAUCAUUCAGACUGCUAGAUUCACUCAUGAGAAAAUCUCACUGGUUCCAAUGGAGCUGUUACCCAAGUGACUGCACUCAUUACAUAGUAAUUGUUUUGGCCUAGAACAAAUAACUGGAAGUCCAUCUAGUCCAUUUUGUUUCCAGAUGUAAUCACCCGGAUGCCCCUGGGAAGCCCAGCAGAAGAAGGGCAUGAAGGUGAUUAUUUUUCUCCCUCUUUGUCUCUCAAAGGGGAAAUGUUUUCUGCUUUGCAAUACCAAGGUUCAGUUGAGUUAUCCUCUGCACUGGGACUGGGACUGGCACUACAGUCCACCAGACAUCACAGAACCCCAGUUCACAGACAAGGUGAUGACAAGGAAUAAUAGGAGUUGUAUGUAGUUCAUUAACAUCUGGAAGAUCACGUUUGUCCAGUACUACGCUAUUCUGCCAGUAAACCCAUUUUGCCCCAAAUGUGAAUGGCAUCCUUAUGAAUUAAAACAGUACCAAUCAGGAACAAGAAGGAGGCAUCUGCCAAACUUAGAGAAGCCCAAGGUGUGUCAAACUACAGAAGAGGUUAAAGGGUCAAGGAACAGGGAACAGGGAAAUGAAACUAGAAGCAGCACACACAGAAGCAGAGUGCUUAGCUGCUGACAGCAAAACCGGAAAAUUGGGGCGAAAUAAUGUUUUGCGAAAAGGAGACACUGCACCGACAAAGGGUGAAUGCCUGCUGCAGCAUUUUGUUGCAACUCCUCGCAAACAAUCCUUGAACAACAUUCUGUGAAUCUGCCAAUCCACCUUUUUUUUGGGGGGGAGGUGUGUGUACACAUGUUCACGUGUGCAAAAAGUUUGUUUAAUAUAGUUGUACAUCCACUGGUAAUUUUAUCUUGACCAUUGACCACUCUUUCCUACAAGUCACAUUUUCAUAAUGUCAGAAAAUGACUGUGCUAUGCUGGCUGAAAGUGCUUUGCAAUGAGACAGAAAAACUAAAAAAAACCCAAAGCUGGCUUAUCACUCUGAAAAGCUUGGUUAGCAGAGAACAAGGACAAAUGAGAAACUUUUUUAACAGGAUUUCCUGACUGCAAAUGGAUAGACAAAUUACAAGAAAUAUCCUCAAGUCAAGCUUGAAUUAUGGUGACCUGGUGAUAGAAACAACCACACAGUUUUCUUGGCAAAAUUAUGGAAGUGGUUUGCCAUUGCCUUCUUUUGGAAAGAAGCCGGGAAUUAGACCACGAGUUUCUUCUUGCAAAGCAAUUGCUCAGAAGCUACAGCCACUCUUGUAAUAAAGUAUAGGAAAGGGAAAAUGAUAGCUGACCA
This 2507-nucleotide long non-coding RNA is filed under the name Salvator merianae (Argentine black and white tegu). RNAcentral describes it as "lncRNA (ENSSMRG00000005626.1)". The record is from RNAcentral. Lineage: Eukaryota; Metazoa; Chordata; Lepidosauria; Squamata; Teiidae.